This 136-nucleotide small nucleolar RNA is filed under the name Hucho hucho (huchen). The record is from RNAcentral. Lineage: Eukaryota; Metazoa; Chordata; Actinopteri; Salmoniformes; Salmonidae.
ACUGAGGCCUAUCCUGACAGACUCCUCACAGUGGGCCCCUAGUAAUUGAAAAUGCCUCAAAGGACAAAUCUGUGGUUUGGCUUUACCCUCAUGGCUACUUUCAUUAGCCCUGUGGGAUAUGCCGUAGAGUCCAGUC